AGCGAACGCUGGCGGCAGGCCUAACACAUGCAAGUCGAACGAACUCUUCGGAGUUAGUGGCGGACGGGUGAGUAACACGUGGGAACGUGCCUUUUGGUUCGGAAUAACUCAGGGAAACUUGUGCUAAUACCGAAUGUGCCCUUCGGGGGAAAGAUUUAUCGCCAUUAGAGCGGCCCGCGUCGGAUUAGCUAGUUGGUGAGGUAACGGCGCACCAAGGCGACGAUCAGUAGCUGGUCUGAGAGGAUGACCAGCCACACUGGGACUGAGACACGGCCCAGACUCCUACGGGAGGCAGCAGUGGGGAAUCUUGCGCAAUGGGCGAAAGCCUGACGCAGCCAUGCCGCGUGAAUGAUGAAGGUCUUAGGAUUGUAAAAUUCUUUCACCGGGGACGAUAAUGACGGUACCCGGAGAAGAAGCCCCGGCUAACUUCGUG
RNAcentral lists this ribosomal RNA (433 nucleotides) under uncultured bacterium. RNAcentral's name for it is "partial 16S ribosomal RNA". It matches the Rfam family "Bacterial small subunit ribosomal RNA", at positions 29 to 507 of the family's 1533-position model. The record is from RNAcentral.